GACGAACGCUGGCGGCACGCUUAACACAUGCAAGUCGAACGGAGAAUAUCGAAGCUUGCUUUGAUAUUCUUAGUGGCGGACGGGUGAGUAACACGUGAGUAACCUGCCUCUGAGAGUGGGAUAGCUUCUGGAAACGGAUGGUAAUACCGCAUGAAAUCAUAGUAUCGCAUGGUACAAUGAUCAAAGAUUUAUCGCUCAGAGAUGGACUCGCGUCUGAUUAGCUAGUUGGUAAGGUAACGGCUUACCAAGGCGACGAUCAGUAGCCGGACUGAGAGGUUGAUCGGCCACAUUGGGACUGAGACACGGCCCAGACUCCUACGGGAGGCAGCAGUGGGGAAUAUUGCACAAUGGGGGAAACCCUGAUGCAGCGAUGCCGCGUGGAGGAAGAAGGUUUUCGGAUUGUAAACUCCUGUUGAAGAGGACGAUAAUGACGGUAC
Molecule: ribosomal RNA, 437 nt
Filed under: uncultured bacterium
Lineage: Bacteria
Description: bacterial SSU rRNA
Rfam family: Bacterial small subunit ribosomal RNA
Source: RNAcentral